Molecule: ribosomal RNA, 239 nt
Filed under: uncultured bacterium
Lineage: Bacteria
Description: partial 16S ribosomal RNA
Rfam family: Bacterial small subunit ribosomal RNA
Source: RNAcentral
GAUCCUGGCUCAGGACGAACGCUGGCGGCGUGCCUAAUACAUGCAAGUCGAACGAACCGCGACUGAGUGCUUGCACUUGGUCAAGGUGAGUGGCGAACGGGUGAGUAACACGUGGGUAACCUACCUCAUAGUGGGGGAUAACAGUCGGAAACGACUGCUAAUACCGCAUAGGACAUGGAAUCACAUGAUUCCGUGAGGAAAGGUGGCGCAAGCUAUCGCUAAGAGAUGGACCCGCGGUG